AGCCGUAGAGGAUGGAAAGGUUUCCGUCGCGCCCUCGUGGUAGAAAGAGAUGUGGGAUACGCCGCCCCACCUACGGCU
This 78-nucleotide non-coding RNA is filed under the name Brevibacillus phage Jenst. Its description in RNAcentral is "skipping-rope RNA". It matches the Rfam family "skipping-rope RNA". Rfam says of the family: Firmicutes, Fusobacteria, AlphaProteobacteria, Spirochaetes. Lineage: Duplodnaviria; Heunggongvirae; Uroviricota; Caudoviricetes. The record is from Rfam by way of RNAcentral.